UACGAAGGGGGCUAGCGUUGCUCGGAAUCACUGGGCGUAAAGCGCACGUAGGCGGCUUUUUAAGUCAGGGGUGAAAUCCUGGAGCUCAACUCCAGAACUGCCUUUGAUACUGAGAAGCUUGAGUCCGGGAGAGGUGAGUGGAACUGCGAGUGUAGAGGUGAAAUUCGUAGAUAUUCGCAAGAACACCAGUGGCGAAGGCGGCGAGCUGGUCCGUUACUGACGCUGAGGCGCGACAGCGUGGGGAGCAAACAGG
This 253-nucleotide ribosomal RNA is filed under the name uncultured bacterium. RNAcentral's name for it is "partial 16S ribosomal RNA". It matches the Rfam family "Bacterial small subunit ribosomal RNA", at positions 524 to 776 of the family's 1533-position model. The record is from RNAcentral.